CUUUGCUGACGAGCGGCGGACGGGUGAGUAAUGCUUGGGAACAUGCCUUGAGGUGGGGGACAACAGUUGGAAACGACUGCUAAUACCGCAUAAUGUCUACGGACCAAAGGGGGCUUCGGCUCUCGCCUUUAGAUUGGCCCAAGUGGGAUUAGCUAGUUGGUGAGGUAAUGGCUCACCAAGGCGACGAUCCCUAGCUGGUUUGAGAGGAUGAUCAGCCACACUGGGACUGAGACACGGCCCAGACUCCUACGGGAGGCAGCAGUGGGGAAUAUUGCACAAUGGGCGCAAGCCUGAUGCAGCCAUGCCGCGUGUGUGAAGAAGGCCUUCGGGUUGUAAAGCACUUUCAGUCAGGAGGAAAGGUUAGUAGUUAAUACCUGUUAGCUGUGACGUUACUGACAGAAGAAGCACCGGCUAACUCCGUGCCAGCAGCCGCGGUAAUACGGAGGGUGCGAGCGUUAAUCGGAAUUACUGGGCGUAAAGCGUACGCAGGCGGUUUGUUAAGCGAGAUGUGAAAGCCCCGGGCUCAACCUGGGAACUGCAUUUCGAACUGGCAAACUAGAGUGUGAUAGAGGGUGGUAGAAUUUCAGGUGUAGCGGUGA
Molecule: ribosomal RNA, 599 nt
Filed under: Pseudoalteromonas agarivorans DSM 14585
Lineage: Bacteria; Pseudomonadati; Pseudomonadota; Gammaproteobacteria; Alteromonadales; Pseudoalteromonadaceae
Description: bacterial SSU rRNA
Rfam family: Bacterial small subunit ribosomal RNA
Source: RNAcentral